GCUAGGUACUUCUCUGGGCACACCUGACUUUAGCUCUUCUCUUGGAAGCUAAGCAAGGUUGGGCCUGGUCAGUAUCUGGAUGGGAGACUCCCUGGAGACAUCUAUGUGAGUU
This 112-nucleotide ribosomal RNA is filed under the name Monopterus albus (swamp eel). Lineage: Eukaryota; Metazoa; Chordata; Actinopteri; Synbranchiformes; Synbranchidae. The record is from RNAcentral.